RNAcentral lists this ribosomal RNA (253 nucleotides) under uncultured bacterium. RNAcentral's name for it is "partial 16S ribosomal RNA". It matches the Rfam family "Bacterial small subunit ribosomal RNA", at positions 524 to 776 of the family's 1533-position model. The record is from RNAcentral.
UACGAACUGUGCGAACGUUAUUCGGAAUCACUGGGCUUACAGGGUGCGUAGGCGGCCUGUCAAGUAGGGUGUGAAAGCCCCCGGCUCAACCGGGGAAUGGCGCCCUAAACUGGCGGGCUGGAGUGAGAUAGGGGUGUGCGGAACUUCCGGUGGAGCGGUGAAAUGUGUUGAUAUCGGAAGGAACGCCGGUGGCGAAGGCGGCAUCCUGGACCGGUAUUGACGCUGAGGCGCGAAAGCUAGGGGAGCAAACGGG